UAGGGAAUCUUCCACAAUGGGCGAAAGUCUGAUGGAGCAACGCCGCGUGAGUGAAGAAGGGUUUCGGCUCGUAAAACUCUGUUGUUAAAGAAGAACAUAUCUGAGAGUAACUGUUCAGGUAUUGACGGUAUUUAACCAGAAAGCCACGGCUAACUACGUGCCGG
RNAcentral lists this ribosomal RNA (164 nucleotides) under uncultured bacterium. Its description in RNAcentral is "partial 16S ribosomal RNA". It matches the Rfam family "Bacterial small subunit ribosomal RNA", at positions 355 to 511 of the family's 1533-position model. The record is from RNAcentral.